RNAcentral lists this ribosomal RNA (1346 nucleotides) under uncultured bacterium. RNAcentral's name for it is "16S ribosomal RNA". It matches the Rfam family "Bacterial small subunit ribosomal RNA". The record is from RNAcentral.
GAUGAACGCUGGCGGCGUGCCUUAGGCAUGCAAGUCGGACGGUCCCGACAUUUGUCGGGAUAGUGGCAGACGGGUGAGUAAUACGUAGGAAUCUACCUUUUGGUGGGGAAUAGCUUGUCGAAAGACAAGGUAAUACCGCAUAAUCCCUCCGGGGCAAAGGAUAUAACUAUCCGCCGAAAGAGGAGCCUGCGUCCUAUCAGCUUGUUGGUGAGGUAAUGGCUCACCAAGGCGUCAACGGGUAGCUGGUGUGAGAGCACGACCAGCCACAAUGUCACUGAAACACGGGGCAUACAUCUACGGAUGGCAGCAACCGGGAAUAUUGCGCAAUGGGCGAAAGCCUGACGCAGCGACGCCGCGUGGGGGAUGACAGCCUUCGGGUUGUAAACUCCUUUUAUAAAGGAACAUAAUGAGGGUACUUUAUGAAUAAGCACCGGCAAACUACGUGCCAGCAGCAGCGGUAAAACGUAGGGUGCAAGCGUUAUCCGGAUUUACUGGGCGUAAAGAGUAUCGUAGGCGGUCGGAAAAGUCAUUCGUCAAAGCCCGAGGCUUAACUUCGGAAAGGCGGGUGAUACUUUCUAACUAGAGCAUAGUAGGGGAUAUUGGAAUGUCUGGUGGAGGGGUGAAAUCCGUUGAGAUCAGACAGAACACCGAGGGCGAAGGCAGAUAUCUAGGCUAUUGCAGACGCUGACGAACGAAAGCUGGGGUAGCAAAAGGGAUUAGAGACCCCUGUAGUCCCAUGCCGUAAACGAUUUCUACUAGCUGGUCCGAUUUAAUUGGACUGGCGUAAGCUAACGCGUUAAGUAGAACGCCUGGGGAGUACGGCCGCAAGGCUAAAACUCAAAGGAAUUGAUGGGGAGGCGCACAACCAGUGGAGCAUGUUGUUUAAUUCGAUACGAAGCGUAGGACCUUACCUGGGUUUGACAUCCUAUCGUACGUGUCUGAUGAAAGUUAGACUCCUUCAGGUAGGACAGCUGCUGCAUGGUUGUCGUCAGCUCGUGUCGUGAGAUCUCUGCUUAAGUGCAGUAACGAGCGCAACCCUCAUCCUGUGUUGACUUUCACAAGAGACUGCCUCAGUUAAACUGGGGAGGAAGGGGAGGAUGACGUCAAAUCAGCACGGCGCUUAUAUCCAGGGCGACACACAUCCUACAAUGGUUAGGACAAUGGGUUGCAAAGCGGUAACGCGGAGCUAAUCCCUUAAAACUAGCCUCAGUUCAGAUUGAGGGCUGCAACUCGCCCUCAUGAAGUUGGAAUUGGUAGUAAUCGCGGGUCAGCAGACCGCGGUGAAUACGUUCUCGCCUCUUGUACACACUGCCCGUCAAGCGAGGAGAGUUGAGAGUGCCCGAAGU